AAAAGCACCUUGGAGGUGGUGGUUCGGGACUGAAGUCUGCCCCGUGGCAAACCCGCGUGUGGAGAAUGCCUUUACCUUCCCGAAGCCUUGAUUUCCUCCAGGCGCUUGCUCGGGUCCGUGUGGCCAGGGACAGCAGCCCCGUCUGGCUGCCCAAGCCUCUCCGUGUCCGGGGCAGGUAAAAGAGAAACCAGCCAGCAGCUCUUGGGAAGCCGUGUCAAAGGGCUUUGGAUAGAUCGGUUCUUCAGUGAGAGUCUCUGUGUGACCAUGUGAGCAGCUGCGUUGGUACAGCAGAGAGAGCUGCCCCAGGAGGACCCUCUUGAGUCCCAGUCCAGAUGCAAUGCAAACACCUUUGGCUCUAGCUUGGGUACCUGAUUACAAAGGAAGAUCCAGCUCCUGAAGGUUUAGGCAAACCUCUUUAUUUCAGGAAACUAUAAUGACCUGCCUUCCUGCCCUACUAGUGAUUAUCACAGCUGGAAUCUGAAACCCUUCAGCACCAGCACGGUUUAUUUUAGUAUUCCUAAAGCUUGUCUUGCAAGCCCACUGCUUCAUGGACUGUAUUCUCCUUGGUGAACCCAAGCUCAUCAUUCUCUUUUCUGGACCACUUGGGAAGGCACUUAUCAGUUACAGCUUUGUUGUGACAAGUGACUGUGUAACUACAAACCCUGAGCUAGAUGUGAGGAAGCUCAGCAGGGUUCCCGGUGUGUCAGAGCUCUGCUGAUGCAAACAGCGACUCUGCUGACUUGAAGAGAUGAAGCAACAGUAAUGAAUCUCAUCCGGACAAAAUCCCCAUGGACACUACUAGUCUCUUGAACCCUGUCUUGACACUGCUCAAAUGUGGCAACAUCUGAAAGCUUUUGCCAGGAGGUCUGUUUUGCUGAAGAGGAUCAUCUUGGGCUCCACAGGAGGUUUAAUAAAGUACAAGCCCUUUAGUUGCACCAGUGUUUUUUUCUGCAGUACUUCAGUGCCAGUACAUACUUGUCUGUGAUGUAAUUUUUUUCCAUUAAUAAAUCCACAGACCCUGCUGGAUA
Molecule: long non-coding RNA, 1028 nt
Organism: Columba livia (rock pigeon)
Lineage: Eukaryota; Metazoa; Chordata; Aves; Columbiformes; Columbidae
Exons: 5
Source: RefSeq, a predicted model, not a curated record